UAAGGCCGAGAGCUGAUGACGAGUGUUCUUUUAGAACACGAAGUGGUUGAUGCCAUGCUUCCAAGAAAAGCUUCUAAGCUUCAGGUAACCAGGAACCGUACCCCAAACCGACACAGGUGGUUGGGUAGAGAAUACCAAGGCGCUUGAGAGAACUCGGGUGAAGGAACUAGGCAAAAUGGCACCGUAACUUCGGGAGAAGGUGCGCCGGUGAGGGUGAAGCAUUUACUGCGUAAGCCCACGCCGGUCGAAGAUACCAGGCCGCUGCGACUGUUUAUUAAAAACACAGCACUCUGCAAACACGAAAGUGGACGUAUAGGGUGUGACGCCUGCCCGGUGCCGGAAGGUUAAUUGAUGGGGUUAGCUAACGCGAAGCUCUUGAUCGAAGCCCCGGUAAACGGCGGCCGUAACUAUAACGGUCCUAAGGUAGCGAAAUUCCUUGUCGGGUAAGUUCCGACCUGCACGAAUGGCGUAACGAUGGCGGCGCUGUCUCCACCCGAGACUCAGUGAAAUUGAAAUCGCUGUGAAGAUGCAGUGUAUCCGCGGCUAGACGGAAAGACCCCGUGAACCUUUACUAUAGCUUUGCACUGGACUUUGAAUUUGCUUGUGUAGGAUAGGUGGGAGGCUUUGAAGCGUGGACGCCAGUUCGCGUGGAGCCAACCUUGAAAUACCACCCUGGCAACUUUGAGGUUCUAACUCAGGUCCGUUAUCCGGAUCGAGGACAGUGUAUGGUGGGUAGUUUGACUGGGGCGGUCUCCUCCUAAAGAGUAACGGAGGAGUACGAAGGUGCGCUCAGACCGGUCGGAAAUCGGUCGUAGAGUAUAAAGGCAAAAGCGCGCUUGACUGCGAGACAGACACGUCGAGCAGGUACGAAAGUAGGUCUUAGUGAUCCGGUGGUUCUGUAUGGAAGGGCCAUCGCUCAACGGAUAAAAGGUACUCCGGGGAUAACAGGCUGAUACCGCCCAAGAGUUCAUAUCGACGGCGGUGUUUGGCACCUCGAUGUCGGCUCAUCACAUCCUGGGGCUGAAGCCGGUCCCAAGGGUAUGGCUGUUCGCCAUUUAAAGUGGUACGCGAGCUGGGUUUAGAACGUCGUGAGACAGUUCGGUCCCUAUCUGCCGUGGACGUUUGAGAUUUGAGAGGGGCUGCUCCUAGUACGAGAGGACCGGAGUGGACGAACCUCUGGUGUUCCGGUUGUCACGCCAGUGGCAUUGCCGGGUAGCUAUGUUCGGAAUAGAUAACCGCUGAAAGCAUCUAAGCGGGAAACUAGCCUCAAGAUGAGAUCUCACUGGGACCUUGAGUCCCCUGAAGGGCCGUCGAAGACUACGACGUUGAUAGGUUGGGUGUGUAAGCGCUGUGAGGCGUUGAGCUAACCAAUACUAAUUGCCCGUGAGGCUUGACCAU
RNAcentral lists this ribosomal RNA (1398 nucleotides) under Pseudomonas sp. PDM24. Its description in RNAcentral is "partial 23S ribosomal RNA". It matches the Rfam family "Bacterial large subunit ribosomal RNA", at positions 1551 to 2925 of the family's 2925-position model. Lineage: Bacteria; Pseudomonadati; Pseudomonadota; Gammaproteobacteria; Pseudomonadales; Pseudomonadaceae. The record is from RNAcentral.